CAGCCGCCGCGGUAAUACGGAGGGGGCUAGCGUUGUUCGGAAGUACUGGGCGUAAAGCGCACGUAGGCGGCUUUGUAAGUCAGAGGUGAAAGCCUGGAGCUCAACUCCAGAAUUGCCUUUGAGACUGCAUCGCUUGAACGUCGGAGAGGUGAGUGGAAUUCCGAGUGUAGAGGUGAAAUUCGUAGAUAUUCGGAAGAACACCAGUGGCGAAGGCGGCUCACUGGACGACUGUUGACGCUGAGGUGCGAAAGCGUGGGGAGCAAACAGGAUUAGAUACCCCCGUAGUCCCUGUCUCUUAUAA
This 301-nucleotide ribosomal RNA is filed under the name uncultured bacterium. RNAcentral describes it as "partial 16S ribosomal RNA". It matches the Rfam family "Bacterial small subunit ribosomal RNA", at positions 509 to 809 of the family's 1533-position model. The record is from RNAcentral.